Elaeis guineensis (African oil palm) is the source of this 1008-nucleotide non-coding RNA. The record is from RefSeq and is a predicted model, not a curated record. NCBI's taxonomy places the organism in Eukaryota, Viridiplantae, Streptophyta, Magnoliopsida, Arecales, Arecaceae.
UGUUGAAAAUUGGUGCAGUCCUCUCCAAUUGGGUGAACUGGUGCUCUGCACCAAUUUUUCUCCGCUAGGACGGUGGACGAAGAAUUUCCCCGCGUAACCCCGUUUGCCGGCGACUUGGUAAGGAAAAGAAAAUGGCAAGAAGGCUUCUUUCUCUCUCUGCUUCUAGGGCAAGAAUGGAUCUCCGUUUCGCGGCAGCGACUAGAGACCAACAAGGGCCGGCGUAGAUCGGUGGUGAUCGGGAAGGCCGCAAGGGGCUGGCCAGAUACCUCUGGUGUAAGAGGGUUCUAAUCCUUUGGUCGCCGCUUCAAGAAAAAUAGAGAAACAAUAACCGAUGAUACUGUUCCUCAUCUUUUAUGUUUCUGCCUUUCUUUGUUUUAAUUUCUUUUUUGUCCCAUUUUUAUUUUAGAGUUACAAUUGAUGUUGUGAAGAGGAUAUUUCUUUGGUAUAUUUUAACGCCUCUAGGUAUUGAUCAUCAUUUCUGGUCUAUUGAUUGAUGAUGAAUUUAUUUUUAUCGAGACUUCUAUUCUAUGUAUUUGCUUGAUUUGGACUGGGAAUCUAAAAAUAUAUUUUUUUCGAAUCAGGUGAAUUCAUUGGAAAUUUUCAAUUUGAAAUUUUACAGUGGCUUCUUUUCUUUUUUUUUUUGUCAUGUUUCGUUUGUUAUCUGUUUUGGGAAAAAUGAGAAGUUAAUUUUUUUCAUUUCUCCUUCUGUUUGGUAUCUUGUAUUUCUCUCUGUUUAUAUAUAUAUUUUAGAUUGUAGUAACAUAAUAUUGUUAUUACUAUUACCAUGGGAGUAAGUAGUGACAUCCCAGUGUUGCUGCCAUGAUCAUAUUAGUACGUAGUGACAUACUAGUGUUACUACCAUUAUUAUAAUAAUAAUAUGAUUUCUAUAUGUUUCUAAUGUUUAUUCUACAAUAUUUUUUGUUUUGCCACUGCUAAUAUAUCUUUGGAUCUCGUGAUAUUGAUAAUUUAUUGAGAACAAUGUAACUUUCAAUCAAUACUUGAAAUAUA